CUGCUGCUCCUGAAGGUGAAGACGAAGUUGAGGGCGGUCGGUGCUAUUCCUCUUUUCUGUUCCCCUUGCUGUGUUCUGUUCUCUCUGCGCUUACUCCCUUGUUCUCCUUCGUGUCCGUCUGUUCGGAGUGGGGAGAAGGUGGUGCCACCGGAGACGAGGCUAACACUGGUCUGGACAAUGACGAAGAUAUAUGAAGGUGUGGUGGCUGGCCAAAACUUCUCCUCCACCUCUGUUUCGUUCCUCCGUGUUCGUCUGUAUUUAUUUUUGUUGCUGCUCUGUUCGUG
RNAcentral lists this long non-coding RNA (284 nucleotides) under Populus tremula. RNAcentral describes it as "long non-coding RNA (PTRE_LNC002072)". The record is from RNAcentral. Lineage: Eukaryota; Viridiplantae; Streptophyta; Magnoliopsida; Malpighiales; Salicaceae.